AUUGAACGCUGGCGGCAGGCCUAACACAUGCAAGUCGAGCGGAUGAAGGGAGCUUGCUCCUGGUUUCAGCGGCGGACGGGUGAGUAAUGCCUAGGAAUCUGCCUGGUAGUGGGGGAUAACGUCCGGAAACGGGCGCUAAUACCGCUAACGUCCUGCGGGAGAAAGUGGGGGAUCUUCGGAUCUCACGCUAUCAGAUGAGCCUAGGUCGGAUUAGCUAGUUGGUGGGGUAAAGGCCUACCAAGGCGACGAUCCGUAACUGGUCUGAGAGGAUGAUCAGUCACACUGGAACUGAGACACGGUCCAGACUCCUACGGGAGGCAGCAGUGGGGAAUAUUGGACAAUGGGCGAAAGCCUGAUCCAGCCAUGCCGCGUGUAUGAAGAAGGUCUUCGGAUUGUAAAGCACUUUAAGUUGGGAGGAAGGGCAGUAAGUUAAUACCUUGCUGUUUUGACGUUACCAACAGAAGAAGCACCGGCUAACUUCGUG
Molecule: ribosomal RNA, 484 nt
Filed under: uncultured bacterium
Lineage: Bacteria
Description: partial 16S ribosomal RNA
Rfam family: Bacterial small subunit ribosomal RNA
Source: RNAcentral